CCCUUAGAUGUCCGGGGCCGCACGCGCGCUACACUGACGGAGCCAGCGAGCUUUUCCUUAACCGAGAGGUUUGGGUAAUCUUGUGAAACUCCGUCGUGCUGGGGAUAGAGCAUUGUAAUUAUUGCUCUUCAACGAGGAAUUCCUAGUAAGCGCAAGUCAUCAGCUUGCGUUGAUUACGUCCCUGCCCUUUGUACACACCGCCCGUCGCUAGUACCGAUUGAAUGGCUUAGUGAGGCUUCAGGAUUUGCUUAGAUCGAGGGGCAACUCUCUUUCAGAGCGGAGAAUCUAGUCAAACUUGGUCAUUUAGAGGAACUAAAAGUCGUAACA
Molecule: ribosomal RNA, 327 nt
Filed under: uncultured eukaryote
Lineage: Eukaryota
Description: partial 18S ribosomal RNA
Rfam family: Eukaryotic small subunit ribosomal RNA
Source: RNAcentral